GUCAGAAUGUGCGCCGCUAACUGCUUUGUUGACUAUUCUGUGCAAUGGCGGAUGUAGCCCAAAUCGUGCUUAUAAUAACUGUGCUGCUAACAGGGCUUCUAACAUGUAUACCGAUACAUGAUCAGUUAUAUAACUAUGUUGAGGAACAAAGGAGUCAGAAUGCAAUUCUACGCAGGGCACUGCUAAUGACAACACUCGUCCCGCGACACAGACCCCCGCCACCGGUUUUGGACGAGACCCGGUCGGACCUCUAGUUGGUAUUGGGUGUUCCUGUAAAGGAUCUACACUUUGCUUUGUGCUCUGUAUCAAAGGCUCUGUAGUAAAUGUGAAUGUGGCAGUGUAAGGGGUGUUCAGUAGCAGUUGCAAGUAGGUCCGAGCUACUUAACCAUUACAAACUCAAACAUCCACAUUUUGGACGUACUGUCCGCUAUCCAUGUACAUAUUGGAAAUGUCCAUGCUCAUUCAAGACAUGGAAUGCUUUAAUCGUUCAUCAAAGAGUGCAUUCCACACACGUUUGUCACACUCAAAAAGAGCUGUAUACUUUCAGCUGUCACUUAUGUACAUGUAAACAUUUAUCAAAUGAAAGGGAGUUCUUUGUUCAUAUCAACACCCAUCUGAGGAAAAAUGAAAACGUUUGUUGGCUGUAGUUUUCAAACUAGCAUUUAUGGAACCUUUAAGUCUCAUAAGAGCCGCCAACACACACCUCACACACUAACUAAACAACAACAUUACCACCUCCAUCAGUACAGGAUUCAAUUGCUGAUUGCCAGGAUGAUGAGUCUGUAGACGAGGAAGUUUCUGGGACAUCCCUAGAUCCAGGUCAACAGCAGGACUUCCUUCAUCCAAGCCAUGGAGGAGGCCUGUGACCAGAUGGAGGUAGCAGCAAUGCAAGGAUGGAUUCGUCAUUCAAGACGUUUCUUUCCAAGGUGUCUUGCUCAUGACAACAUUGCCUGCGAUGUUGAUGAAAUUCUCAGAUCCAGCUAGGCGAAGAGACAAUGUCUAGUUGUUGUUUUUUUAACUUACAAUACGUAAAGUGACGUUUGGGCGUGUUGAGAAAUAAAUGAGUUUCUUCAGUGCAACAUUUGUCUUGUGUAAUGUUUGGUGAAUUUACAUUAUAUUUGUACUUUGUUGAUAGUAGCCUACUGUAAUCCUAGGGAAGUAGAAGUGCUAAAAGUGUUUUAGGUUUAUCACAGCAGCGUGUAACUCGUGCAAACAGUAUAGUAAUGUGAAACGUGUGUGCUUCAUAUGGUGAAAUGCAGAACUCCAUUCAGGGUCACCAAAAAGGCUGAAUACUGUGAGCUGCAGACAAGUCAGAGUUUCUCUCUUCUUCCCCCCCCCCAAGGCGCAGGGAGGCGACCCUUUUGUCACUCCAAUGUAGCAGCACUCAGCCGGGGACUUAUGAGUGCGCCUCACACCAUGGGCCACUCCAGAGUAGAAUAGUGUCCAUCCCCUAUCCAGGAGUGUGGUUCCAGAGCCGAGGCUGUGCGUAGAGGUAAGCCCCACCAGAUCCAACUGAUAACGCUCCACCUCCCGCACAAGCUCCGGCUCCUUCCCCCCCCACAGAGGUUAGGUUCCACGUCCACAGAGCCAGCCUCUGCCUCCCAGGUCUGUUCCGUCUAGACCCCCCACGGUCACUGCCACCCUUGUAGCAGCGUGGGUUUCCCCCACAGGUGGUGAGCCCAUGGGGAGUAGAGUCUUGGGUUGCUGCGUCACUCCUUCAGGCUGUCCCCGGCCGGGCUCCGCGGCAAGCCCGGCCACCAGACGCUCGCUGUCGGGCCCUCCAUCUGGGCCUGGCUCCAAAUGGGGGCCCUGGGCUUCCUCCGGGCCGGGUAACUCCUUCCCUCUUCAGUUUUUUUUAAUAGGGUCAUGAAUAAUAACGGAGUAUAUUUUUAGAUGCCACGUAGAUGCUCUUAUUGCCAGUCUCAGGCGGUUAAGAGGGUGUGGGAUGGUUGUGAGCGAAUGACGCCUGAAAAUCCUCACCUUGUUUCUAUAGCUCCUGAAAUAGGACGUCGUCAUGCAGUGAAGCCAUGGCCAAUUUCCACCUUCACUGGAAAGCAAAAAAAGUAUAAGUUUUCCUUAUGGUUGAAAUGCACUAAAUGACACGUAAUGUUUGUUAGUUUGUACUGCUUGUAGGAGCCUCCCAUCUGCGAAGCAUUGUCGAUGGUUUUGUGGUGACUCCAGCAGAUCUUUCCAUUGGCAUCAUGUCUACUCUGGGGGCCUGUGCAAAGCACUUACGGACUGAGGUGCUGAAUGCUGUUGUGCCCGGUCAUCCAGAUGUUGUUGUCCUUUUGGGGCCAGGAAAUGACUUGACCUGGGGUAAUACAUCUUCAGAUGUUGUGUAAUUUGUUAGCUUGAGUUAGGAAUUGAGAAAAUUGAUUUACUGAACAUCUAUAUAUUUUUUUGGUGGUAGUGGUGGAUUUUCCUCAGAUACCAAGGUUUGUCCUCACAUGAGCUUUGGUGCAGAGACAAUUUGAGUUAAAUAUGCAGAUGUGUAGAAGUGUGAUUUACACAAAUAGUUAGAUUGUAGCUAUCCAGAUCCAUAUUGAUUGACACCAUACGUGUAGAGGCUAGUGAAUUGGCUGUAACAUCUAAAGAAUUGGGUGUGUUUCUGAAACAGAACGCUGUGUUUGACAUAAGCGGGGGCAGUUGAUUUGGGCAAGCCAGAGAGGUACAGCUUGCAGGGGUUGACCAAUGAGUCUGUGGUAAAGGAAAAGAUGAAAUGUUCGAUAGAGAUGGAAUGCGUUAUUGUGCCUUAAUGGAGCAGUCAGUCACACGAAAAGUACUUUGUGGUUGUAGAUUUUGCCGUACGUAAUGACUCUGGGCUGUCAUGUGAAUUUGGCCGGUCUGUGGCACACCAUGUCAGGCAGCUGUGAUGGUGACAGCAGUGGUGACAUGAAUGUUGCAAUUGAUUUUCAGGCAAGCAGUUCUGUCGACAACAGCAUGAAUGUUUCAACUGAUGUUGAAGGAAGCAGUUCUGUCAGGGACGAUAGGAGUAUAAGGAGAUCCUUUCACCAGGGUGAUGACAGGUUUGAGUUUGGAGGAGUUCAGUGCAUGGCCACAGCACUGUUUCGUAUGGCAAAACAGUCAAGAGAGUGUUUUGUCAUUUAGGUGUCAGUUGUACAAAGAUUUGCGAAAAGAAAUCUUCAGCAGCAGGUCUGGUUGGUUGUGUGUUUCUGAUUUUCCCAAGCAGAGACUUGUUGACGGACAAGAGUUUACCUUUCAUUAGGGUAGGGACUUUGUGUCAGGAGAUGUUGUUGAAGGUAUACUCAGAAUGGUAGCUACUCCGGUCUUCUGACGCUGUGUUGCAAUACAUGCGCAAUCAUUCGUGACAAUGGACAGUAUGCAGUGGUUGACUCGCAUGCACGCAAUGCUUGUGGCAUGGUUUAUGGAGAGGGAAAGUGUUCUUGUAUAUUUUUCUUCAAUGGAAGGUGUAUUCCAGGACAUUUUCCUUUUAGUCUCAAGGGUUUGGUAAUCAGCUAAAGUCUUUUGCGAUAAGUGGUGUUCGUGUCACAGACUGCCUCCGUUUGAAAAACCAACAGCUCUGUGUACCAAUCCUAUAACAUUUGGAAAUGCUUUGUCCGAAGUCUGUUCAGAACGCGUUGGGAUCAAAUGUACAAAAGCUGAACGAUAAAACAUCUCAAGCCAAUUCAGAUGUUGAAUUUAUCCAUGAAGUUGUACAAAACAACCUGAAGCAUGUCACAAGCUCUAUGCAAAGAUUUAAAAAUGAAAUAUGCAAAAACAAAGUUGAUCCUACAUGUUUUGGUUCCAUUGGGAGUUCCAUGUAAAAAAAAGUAAUUGCUUCUUUAUACAAUACUGGAUAGAAAAAUUGUGUGUCCUGCUACUUUUUUGGAAUGGACAUAAUAGGCCUUACGAUUCCUGCACUGUCAAAAAAGUUGAUGGCCAAAGCCUUUAUAAUGUUUAGAUGUGUUAUCUACCCAGCAAAUGUUUUUGCUGCUGCAAUUUCCAUUCCUUUUG
This is a long non-coding RNA of Gasterosteus aculeatus aculeatus (three-spined stickleback), 3975 nucleotides long. The record is from Ensembl. Lineage: Eukaryota; Metazoa; Chordata; Actinopteri; Perciformes; Gasterosteidae.